Tachysurus fulvidraco (yellow catfish) is the source of this 547-nucleotide long non-coding RNA. RefSeq lists it as uncharacterized. The transcript is spliced from 3 exons. Lineage: Eukaryota; Metazoa; Chordata; Actinopteri; Siluriformes; Bagridae. The record is from RefSeq and is a predicted model, not a curated record.
CACACACACACACACACACACACACACACACACACACACACUCCAUCAGACAGCUACACACAAGUCCAUGUGCUCAGGAGAGAAUUUUUUUAGAAUUGAAACUUUUAGUGUUGUAGAAAGUUCGGAGUCGUGAAAUGAUCGACUUUCAUCCUGUUUAAUUCGAUUCUCUGAAAUCUGUUUGUUCAUAUUGAGGAAUCACAUCAUCCUGCUCGGGGUCACGGCCGAUCCGGAGUCCGUCCUGGGAACGGCAGGCAGACGUGAGGCCCAGGUGUCCUGUUCUCAGGCAGUGUGGACUGACCUUGGCUGCUUGCUUCACCUUCUCACUUUAAUAAACAUCAUGAGUGUCCUGCAGACAGAUGAGCUGUGGAUGUGAUAGAGUGACUCCGUGGAGCUCAGAGCUGCUGAUCGAGACUGGCCAGAGCAGGACAGAGGAAUUUAACACAUCACACGGUGCAGCAGAGUUAAAAAUAAAACCUCACAUCUUCUGUUCUGUCUCCUGCAUUUUCACAUUCUCUUUACCACACAAACACACACACACACACACACA